GACGAACGCUGGCGGCGUGCUUAACACAUGCAAGUCGAACGGAAAGGCCCUGCUUUUGUGGGGUGCUCGAGUGGCGAACGGGUGAGUAACACGUGAGUAACCUGCCCUUGACUUUGGGAUAACUUCAGGAAACUGGGGCUAAUACCGGAUAGGAGCUCCUGCUGCAUGGUGGGGGUUGGAAAGUUUCGGCGGUUGGGGAUGGACUCGCGGCUUAUCAGCUUGUUGGUGGGGUAGUGGCUUACCAAGGCUUUGACGGGUAGCCGGCCUGAGAGGGUGACCGGCCACAUUGGGACUGAGAUACGGCCCAGACUCCUACGGGAGGCAGCAGUGGGGAAUAUUGCACAAUGGGCGGAAGCCUGAUGCAGCAACGCCGCGUGCGGGAUGACGGCCUUCGGGUUGUAAACCGCUUUCGCCUGUGACGAAGCGUGAGUGACGGUAAUGGGUAAAGAAGCACCGGCUAACUACGUGCCAGCAGCCGCGGUGAUACGUAGGGUGCGAGCGUUGUCCGGAUUUAUUGGGCGUAAAGGGCUCGUAGGUGGUUGAUCGCGUCGGAAGUGUAAUCUUGGGGCUUAACCCUGAGCGUGCUUUCGAUACGGGUUGACUUGAGGAAGGUAGGGGAGAAUGGAAUUCCUGGUGGAGCGGUGGAAUGCGCAGAUAUCAGGAGGAACACCAGUGGCGAAGGCGGUUCUCUGGGCCUUUCCUGACGCUGAGGAGCGAAAGCGUGGGGAGCGAACAGGCUUAGAUACCCUGGUAGUCCACGCUGUAAACGGUGGGUACUAGGUGUGGGGUCCAUUCCACGGGUUCCGUGCCGUAGCUAACGCUUUAAGUACCCCGCCUGGGGAGUACGGCCGCAAGGCUAAAACUCAAAGGAAUUGACGGGGCCCCGCACAAGCGGCGGAGCAUGCGGAUUAAUUCGAUGCAACGCGUAGAACCUUACCUGGGUUUGACAUGGAUCGGGAGUGCUCAGAGAUGGGUGUGCCUCUUUUGGGGUCGGUUCACAGGUGGUGCAUGGCUGUCGCCAGCUCGUGUCGUGAGAUGUUGGGUUAAGUCCCGCAACGAGCGCAACCCUUGUUCACUGUUGCCAGCACGUUAUGGUGGGGACUCAGUGUAGACCGCCGGGGUCAACUCGGAGGAAGGUGGGGAUGACGUCAAGUCAUCAUGCCCCUUAUGUCCAGGGCUUCACGCAUGCUACAAUGGCUGGUACAGAGAGUGGCGAGCCUGUGAGGGUGAGCGAAUCUCGGAAAGCCGGUCUCAGUUCGGAUUGGGGUCUGCAACUCGACCUCAUGAAGUCGGAGUCGCUAGUAAUCGCAGAUCAGCAACGCUGCGGUGAAUACGUUCCCGGG
This 1343-nucleotide ribosomal RNA is filed under the name uncultured bacterium. RNAcentral's name for it is "16S ribosomal RNA". It matches the Rfam family "Bacterial small subunit ribosomal RNA", at positions 28 to 1378 of the family's 1533-position model. The record is from RNAcentral.